RNAcentral lists this ribosomal RNA (468 nucleotides) under uncultured bacterium. Its description in RNAcentral is "partial 16S ribosomal RNA". It matches the Rfam family "Bacterial small subunit ribosomal RNA", at positions 28 to 507 of the family's 1533-position model. The record is from RNAcentral.
GACGAACGCUGGCGGCGUGCUUAACACAUGCAAGUCGAACGGAAAGGCCCUGCUUUUGUGGGGUGCUCGAGUGGCGAACGGGUGAGUAACACGUGAGUAACCUGCCCAGGACUUGGUGAUAACUUCAGGAAACUGGGGCUAAUACCGGAUAGGAGCGCCUGCUGCAUGGUGGGGGUUGGAAAGUUUCGGCGGUUGGGGAUGGACUCGCGGCUUAUUAGCUUGUUGGUGGGGUAGUGGCUUACCAAGGGUUUGACGGGUAGCCGGCCUGAGAGGGUGACCGGCCACAUUGGGACUGAGAUACGGCCCAGACUCCUACGGGAGGCAGCAGUGGGGAAUAUUGCACAAUGGGCGGAAGCCUGAUGCAGCAACGCCGCGUGCGGGAUGACGGCCAUCGGGUUGUAAACCGCUUUCGCCUGUGACGAAGCGUGAGUGACGGUAAUGGGUAAAGAAGCACCGGCUAACUACGUG